RNAcentral lists this non-coding RNA (27 nucleotides) under Homo sapiens (human). Lineage: Eukaryota; Metazoa; Chordata; Mammalia; Primates; Hominidae. The record is from RNAcentral.
UGGUGAACAUCAAUGUGAAAAUCCUCA